UACGGUCAUGUCACAUUGAAACACCGGUUCUCGUACGAUUAUCGACGUUAAGCAACGUCGAGCGUAGUCAGUAUCUCGAUGUGUGACCGCUUGGGAAUACCAGGUACUGUAAG
Molecule: non-coding RNA, 113 nt
Organism: Acanthosepion pharaonis
Lineage: Eukaryota; Metazoa; Mollusca; Cephalopoda; Sepiida; Sepiidae
Source: the annotation of a GenBank genome assembly